Long non-coding RNA from Orcinus orca (killer whale), 275 nucleotides. RefSeq lists it as uncharacterized. Lineage: Eukaryota; Metazoa; Chordata; Mammalia; Artiodactyla; Delphinidae. The transcript is spliced from 2 exons. The record is from RefSeq and is a predicted model, not a curated record.
UUUUGGUGAGUUAUUCAGUUUUCCUGGGUCUCUCCCAAGUAUACAUGUUAUUAAAAUUUUGUUUGAUUUUCUCCUAUUAAUCUUUCUCCUGUCCAUUUAAUUCAUAGACCAGCCAGAAGAAGAGGAAAGGUCUUUCUGAGAACAUGAUGUCUUCACGGCCAGGAAGUUAAAGAAGCUUCGUUACCACACUUGAGACCUGAGAAGUUCUGAGGCCAGGGCAGGGCAAGAAAGUCUUUGCCUCCAAUCAUGAGGAGAAAGGGCAGAGGAAGGGUGGC